UACUUUUGUUCUCCUUUUAUCAAACGAUACCGUAGAACUACGACAAGAACUGUUAUUUAUCUUUCUUCACUCGUAGUUGCAAGUGUUCUUCAAUGUAACUAUCGCUUUUGUCGUGUUUUCUCUGAAAGCACUCGAUUCUUUAGAUAAGAUGAAAAUCUUGUCGGAAAACUUCAAUAUGACCUGCCUUUCGUUCGUUGAAACGAAAAUUGUGGUUCGAAGAUUAGUUGAACAAAU
Non-coding RNA from Paramuricea clavata, 234 nucleotides. NCBI's taxonomy places the organism in Eukaryota, Metazoa, Cnidaria, Anthozoa, Malacalcyonacea, Plexauridae. The record is from the annotation of a GenBank genome assembly.